UUGUGUGAUUUAAUAAUCAUCCUACCCUUUGUGAAUUUGUUGUAAAGUAAAAUUUUAUUUGUCUACCCUGAAUUGAAGAAGCUAGUUUUAGUUUUUCUUUAAUCAGGGGUAUGCAACAAUUAUCAUUUAAAGACCUUUUUUUAAAUUAAACUUUUGUAUUCAUUUGUCUAAAUUAUUUUUAUAAUAUAAAACAACUUUGACAAUGGAUCUCUUGGUUCUCGCAACGAUGAAGAACGCAGCAAAAUGCGAUAAGUAGUGUGAAUUGCAGAAUACGUGAAUCAUCGAAUCUUCGAACGCAUAUUGCACUUUUUUGGUUACCAAAAAGUAUGUCUGUUUGAGUAUCAGUAAAAUAUUCUCAUAAAAACUAUUGUUUUUAUGGUUAUGAGUGUUUUACAACGAUAAACAAGUUGUUUCACUUUAAAUUCUUUGUCUUUUAAAAAAUCAUUAAAAGCUGAUUUUUUUUUAAAUUGGAUAAAAUUUUCCCGUAAAAAGGAAUAACCUAAACAAUUUUAAUUAAAAUUGGUUUGAUUUCUUUUAAGACUUUAAAGGAAAAAAAAGUAAAAAUUAACUUGAUCUCAAAUCAGAUAAGAGUACCCGCUGAACUUAAGCAUAUCAAUAAGCGGAGGAAAAGAAACUAACUAGGAAUCCCUCAGUAACGGCGAGUGAAGCGGGAAGAGCUCAAUUUGAAAUCUUCAAGGUUCUACCUGACGAAUUGUAGUUUAAAGAAGUGUUUUCUGUUGGAGUUUGGUAAAAGUUCUUUGGAAUAGGACAUCAUAGAGGGUGAGAAUCCCGUAUUUGACCGUUAUUUCAGCUUUGUGAUACACUGUUCAAAGAGUCGGAUUGUUUGGGAAUGCAGUCCAAAAUGGGUGGUAAAUUUCAUCUAAAGCUAAAUAUUGGCGAUGGAGACCGAUAGCGAACAAGUACCGUGAGGGAAAGAUGAAAAGAACUUUGAAAAGAGAGUUAAACAGUACGUGAAAUUGUCAAAAGGGAAGCGUUUGACACCAGUGUUGUUUCUCGAAAAUCAAUUAAAAAUGAUGGGAUUUUGUGUUGUAUUGACUUUAAAAGCUUUCUUCACUUUCUUCCUAUCUUUUUAAUGCACUUUUCGUUUAACAAGUCAACAUCAAUUUCUUUUGUUGUAAAAGAGUCAUUGGAAGGUGGCUUUCUUUUCGGAGAAGUGUUUAUAGCCUUUGGCUUCUGCAAUCGGAGAGAUUGAGGUCUGCAGCGUAGAUCCUUCGGGUUAGAUACAUUUGUGCUAAGUUAUAGCCUUUCAUAGACAACUUGUUGACUAUGAUCAGUCAUGUAGCUUACUCGCUUAUGCUAUUUUACCUACGCUUAGGAUGUUGAG
RNAcentral lists this unclassified non-coding RNA (1345 nucleotides) under uncultured Neocallimastigales. Its description in RNAcentral is "partial contains internal transcribed spacer 1, 5.8S ribosomal RNA, internal transcribed spacer 2, and large subunit ribosomal RNA". The stretch from base 571 to 1345 matches the Rfam family "Eukaryotic large subunit ribosomal RNA", at positions 1 to 630 of the family's 3401-position model. The record is from RNAcentral. Lineage: Eukaryota; Fungi; Neocallimastigomycota; Neocallimastigomycetes; Neocallimastigales.